CCCGAGGUACCUGGUUCCCACCGUGGAGGACAGAAAUGUAAGGAUGCUGUUUCUUUCAUGUCAAGGCUGGAGACCGAGAUUUCACAGCAGCUUCACAGAGAACAGAGAUAUGAGAGAAGCUGGGAGAGGGGUUGAUCUUGUGAAGGUACGAGGUGAGCAGACGAGACAGAUUGGCCAAGUACUCUGCUGCUGGGAAGGAAGCAUCUGAGAACUUCGACGUGUGCUGCCCUGCACACCGUGGCCCCAGGAACUGAGGCUGGCCCUGGAGAAAGCUCGCUUCCUGAGAUUCCCACACACAGAUCUCUGGCCUAGACAUCCUUAUUUAUACCAAAGCACAGUUAAUCAGCAGAGGAAGAGCAGGAAACCAGAAGAGAAAGCCUCGGUUAUCGUGACAGCAGGAAGGAGUCAAGGCCACUGGAACGCAGAUUUGGGUGCUCCAGGGAGGACUACACCCUUGGUAUCUCAAGCCAGGAGUGAGGAGCACCGUGGGACAUUUGUGCUACUUGCCAUCCACAGGGCUACGGCUAUUUCAAGGCGAGGAGACCUUGUCAGCAAAAGUUGGAAGUUCAUGAGCUCCUGAUGUGAAACACACUGAGAGUCACGGACCAGUUGUAUUGUUCACGAGACCCCUGAAGCUGUACCAAUCUUCUGCUGAGGUAUCCUGGGAAAACUACCUUUUCCCAAGGCACUGCCAGUCCCCGGCAGCAGUCACAGUGACAGUCACAGAGAAAGUGUCCCAACACCCAUAUGAUGAUCCCAAGGGACAGUGUGGGGUUUAACUGCGUCUCCCAAUCCUUACUGAACUGGAUGAAGCAGAAGCUUUGCCUCUCUUUUUCUUUCUGGUUUUCUUUUCUUCUUUUUGUCUACUCUUUUCACUGCUUCCCUUCUUUCUCUACUUGCCUUUUUCUUACUAAUUACCCUGCAGUUAUGAAUUCAAAGAGAUUUCCCAAAGUCUUGGUAGGCUUUGGAGAUACCUAGAGGAUUAAGAUAUCACAGUCAUUGCCAAUAGUUCCUUAUUCAAGAAGCAUUAGAUCAAAACAACUACAACCCCCCAAAGGUUGAUCCCCCACACCUUGGGGUGAUUAGGGAAGGCUGUACCCAACACUUACAGUUGUAGGCUAAAUCCUGAAGACCUAUAACGAGGCUUCUGAGUGGAACGGAAUGGGGCGAGAGUGGUGGGAGGGAAUGGCGCUAACUUUUACCAUGACUUCACUGUGUCUCCCCAAAAGCUGUGUGCUGGAAAUGUAAUAUCCAAAUUCAUCAUUGGUUGCAUUUGGAAGUUGGACCUUUGGAAGUAAGUUAGGAUUAGAUGAGGUUGUUUGUGAAAGACGGGUCUUCAGGUUAUGUUAAUGGCUUUAUGAGAAAGGAGGCCCAGAGCUACUAACACGCAUUCUGUGUCUCACUGUGUGAUGGUCUUCUUAUAAUGUAGCAGAAAUGCCCACACCCUAUUCUCAUACUUCCCAGGUCUCUAGACUUUUAACACAAAUAAACUCAUAUUUAUAAACUACCCACUUUUAUGUAUUUUUGUUAUAGCAACAGAUGAUAGACUAAAACAGACUAUAAUAGGGUGCUGGCAGAUGAACAGCAGUGAAGGUAACUAUUCCAAAGAAAGCCAAACAGCAAUUAGAGCAUCUGAGAAGUAACUUUAGAACAAUUCCUUCCAUGUAGGACGAGGACUCAGGGACCCGCAGGCGUGAGAAGUAAGCACUGUUCUUUAGAGCAGGGGUCCAGAAGUGGAUCCUGCAGGGUUUGUGAGCGAGAGACAAACCCUCUCACCCAAACAACCUCAUCCAAUCCUAAUUUACUUCCAAAGGUCCAACCUCCAAAUACAACUACUGUAUGAAUUUGGAUAUUACAUUUCCAAAUGUAACCCUGUCACAUUGCAGGGGUGUGAACCACAAAUAUUUUUCACAGAUAAUCUUCACUAUUUUAAACAGGACAGAACAGGAACCUGGACCCUUAAGCCUGUAUUUGCGUGCUUGGUUUUGACUUAUGAAUAUUAUCCCUCUAAAGAAAGAGGACUCCAGGGACUUCCCCAUCCUUACUUCCUCUCUAAACUGAUGCAUAUUCUGAAUCCAGAGACAACCACUGGUUUCUGUGUAACUUAAGUAAGAUUCAGAAAUGUGGUCUGACUGGACAAAAAUCAAGACAAAUCUAAAAAACAAACAAACAAAAACUAAGAAACACCAAGACCUCAAAAUUGAGGAAAGAUAUUCUCUAAAAAUACACAAUUACUCUCAUGGGCGACAUUUCAGAGAAUUUGUUCUCUAAACAGUACCUCUGGCAGUGGCUGGGAAUGCCUGUGGCUAAAUUGUUUUCUAACCCUCAUUUGCCAUUUUCAUUGACUCUAAUAAAUCACAUUCCAUUUAUCACCAUGCUCUAAAUUUAUGUUUAUUCACUCAUUUUCUAUGUUUUUCAGACCCUGCAGAUUUAAUAAAAUGCUAAAUCUGAGUAGGUUGUUGAACAAACUUAUGUAGCAGAUUGGCAUUUAUAGUUAAGUGCUAUCUUCACUCACAUUCAGCUCAGGUCAAUCACCACAGACACAGCUUUUCCCUCUGGCUGUGGCAUCUGCAUGUCAGCCCUCUGGUAGAAUUCUCAGCUCUCUGCACCUGCCAUCACCAAGGUUACUAUGAUGCUGAGUGAUUCUUGCAGUGUAUGUAUCAGUCAGCUUUCCACUACUGUGACAACAUACCUUAGAUUAGUGGCUUUAAAAGAAGAAAGGUUUAUUUUGAUUUGUAGCUUCAGAAGUUUCUGUCUACAGCUGGCUCAGUUGCUUAUAAAGGCCACACCCCCAAUAACCUACAGGCCUCCCAUGAGGCCUCACCCCCUCAAGGUUCUAUCCCCCCAUUCUGCCCUCAGUAGCACACCUGCUGGAGACCAAGCCUUCAACACUGGGCCGAGGAAGUCACUUACCCAAACCAUGAAGCAGUGUGCUGAGGUUCCCGUGCUCUGCUGGAAACUGUCCUGUAGCAAAAUGCAGCUUCUAUUUCUCCCUCUGCAUGGUUGGACAAAAGAACCAAAAUUUCCACACCCACUAAAUCAGUGAUAAGCAUCCAGCAAGGUGAUGUUUAGGGAGCCAGAGUCCUGCCCGAGUGUUGCUCAUGAGAUUCCUCACAGUCAGACACAGAGCUCCAUCUCAGUCCUCUGAAUCCUUGGAGGGAAAGAUAGCUCUCCACACCCAAGUCAUGGAUCAGUAGAGUCCUUUCCUCAUGUCCUAUGUGCCUUUCUGCUCCUGGCUGUCUCUCUCACUUUCUUGCUGUCUGCAUGUUUGUUCAUCUUUUUCACACAAACACACACACACACACACACACACACACACACACACUCACAUUCACGUGCACACUCUCCCUUCUGUUCUAUUCAUUACCAUGCCUGCCUCCUUGUUUUCAAAAGAAAGAAAACAAUCAAGAACAUUUCCACCCAGUAAAUCUAUCUCCUGAAUAGGCUAAUAUAUUUCCCCCAGCACACUGUGUGGGAGGUCAAGUGAUAGCAGAGGUUUUCUAGGACUGCUGGAGAGAGAAUUUUAUAUCUCCUAUUAGAUGCUGAGCUUAGAUGCUCAACGAGCAGAGAGGUGCGAUCAUUAACUUUUUAUUUUAAGGAUGUAAACCAGAGGAGGUUAUUGGUCAGUCUCAUCCAGAGGAACAAAUGAGAAAUAUUAGUCAGGCUUCCCAAAUGGCCAUGAGGUGCGUGACCUUGGACAAGUGAUUAAACGUAUUCCUCUCGACUUUAUCAAAUGGGAUGACAAUCAUAUUUUCUUUAUUGUAAGACCAUUAUGAAAAUUAAAUGGAAAACUGCUCCCCGCCCUGGAACACUUCUGGGAAUAGAGAGCAAGCACUCCCUGGAUGUUUGAUGUUAAUAUUUUUGUUUCUUAGCCUGACAAAAAAGAUGUCAAACACACAAUCACAAGAAAAAUAGUAUUCUAACAUAUGUCUCUAAAUUUCCACGGCAGGUUUUCUGUUCCUUUGACAAUUCUGUAACAUUUCCAAGCAUAGUUAUGUGUGCCCCAGGGAAAGUAGGGCAUUGGGUUGAGAUGUAGGGGGAGUGGUCCCCUGUUUCACAUUCUACCAUACAGAUCCAGCACGAAAGGCCCAAAGAUCAUGUUCCAUCUAAUGAAUCAUGCAAUCCGUUCUGUGCUUUACUUUUUCACAAAUGAAAUGUUAAUGCUGGAAAGAUCAUUUACAUAUGGCCUACUAGUUAUUUAAGAAAACAACAAUUAAACAUGUUGAGAUAAUUAACAGUGUGCACAUGAUUAACAAUGCUUUUUAGAUGCUAGAAAUUAAUGGCGGAGAUGCCAAAUAAAUGUAAUCCCACACUUCA
Cavia porcellus (domestic guinea pig) is the source of this 4317-nucleotide long non-coding RNA. RefSeq lists it as uncharacterized. The transcript is spliced from 2 exons. Lineage: Eukaryota; Metazoa; Chordata; Mammalia; Rodentia; Caviidae. The record is from RefSeq and is a predicted model, not a curated record.